RNAcentral lists this ribosomal RNA (253 nucleotides) under uncultured bacterium. RNAcentral's name for it is "partial 16S ribosomal RNA". It matches the Rfam family "Bacterial small subunit ribosomal RNA", at positions 524 to 776 of the family's 1533-position model. The record is from RNAcentral.
GACGGACCGUACAAACAUUAUUCGGAAUUACUGGGCUUAAAGGGGGCGUAGGCGGCGCAGAAAGUUGGGUGUGAAAUCCCUCGGCUCAACCGAGGAACUGCGCUCAAUACUGCUGUGCUUGAGGGAGACAGAGGUGAGCGGAACUUAGGGUGGAGCGGUGAAAUGCGUUGAUAUCCUAAGGAACACCGGUGGCGAAAGCGGCUCACUGGGUCUCUUCUGACGCUGAGGCACUAAAGCUAGGGUAGCGAACGGG